CUGUAAGACACCCACGAAUCCAACUUGGGGUACAUAUCCAAUGGAUGGUUCUACAACCGUCGGCAGUACCAAGACAAUAACUUGUUCUUCUAAAUAUGCCGUCAAUCCUUCUGGAACAACACAAACUAUCACAUGCCAAGCCAAUGGUACUUGGACAGUGCCUGGUGUGCAACCAUGUCUACGAGACUGUAAGACACCCACGAAUCCAACUUGGGGUACAUAUCCAAUGGAUGGUUCUACAACCGUCGGCGGUACCAAGACAAUAACUUGUUCUUCUAAAUAUGCCGUCAAUCCUUCUGCAACAACACAAACUAUCACAUGCCAAGCCAAUGGUACUUGGAAAGUGCCUGGUGUGCAACCAUGUCUACGAGACUGUAAGACACCCACGAAUCCAACUUGGGGUACAUAUCCAAUGGAUGGUUCUACAACCGUCGGCAGUACCAAGACAAUAACUUGUUCUCUUGACUAUGCCGUCAAUCCUUCUGCAACAACACAAACUAUCACAUGCCAAGCCAAUGGUACUUGGACAGUGCCUGGUGUGCAACCAUGUCUACGAGACUGUAAGACACCCACGAAUCCAACUUGGGGUACAUAUCCAAUGGAUGGUUCUACAACCGUCGGUAGUACCAAGACAAUAACUUGUUCUUCUAAAUAUGCCGUCAAUCCUUCUGCAACAACACAAACUAUCACAUGCCAAGCCAAUGGUACUUGGACAGUGCCUGGUGUGCAACCAUGUCUACGAGACUGUAAGACACCCACGAAUCCAACUUGGGGUACAUAUCCAAUGGAUGGUUCUACAACCGUCGGCAGUACCAAGGCAAUAACUUGUUCUUCUAAAUAUGCCGUCAAUCCUUCUGCAACAACACAAACUAUCACAUGCCAAGC
Molecule: long non-coding RNA, 885 nt
Organism: Sycon ciliatum
Lineage: Eukaryota; Metazoa; Porifera; Calcarea; Leucosolenida; Sycettidae
Exons: 5
Source: RefSeq, a predicted model, not a curated record